Molecule: ribosomal RNA, 468 nt
Filed under: uncultured bacterium
Lineage: Bacteria
Description: partial 16S ribosomal RNA
Rfam family: Bacterial small subunit ribosomal RNA
Source: RNAcentral
GACGAACGCUGGCGGCGUGCUUAACACAUGCCAGUCGAACGGAAAGGCCCUGCUUUUGUGGGGUGCUCGAGUGGCGAACGGGUGAGUAACACGUGAGUAACCUGCCCUUGACUUUGGGAUAACUUCAGGAAACUGGGGCUAAUACCGGAUAGGAGCUCCUGCUGCAUGGUGGGGGUUGGAAAGUUUCGGCGGUUGGGGAUGGACUCGCGGCUUAUCAGCUUGUUGGUGGGGUAGUGGCUUACCAAGGCUUUGACGGGUAGCCGGCCUGAGAGGGUGACCGGCCACAUUGGGACUGAGAUACGGCCCAGACUGCUACGGGAGGCAGCAGGGGGGAAUAUUGCACAAUGGGCGGAAGCCUGAUGCAGCAACGCCGCGUGCGGGAUGACGGCCUUCGGGUUGUAAACCGCUGUCGCCGGUGACGAAGCGUGAGUGACGGUAAUGGGUAAAGAAGCACCGGCUAACUACGUG